This 460-nucleotide ribosomal RNA is filed under the name uncultured bacterium. Its description in RNAcentral is "partial 16S ribosomal RNA". It matches the Rfam family "Bacterial small subunit ribosomal RNA", at positions 338 to 795 of the family's 1533-position model. The record is from RNAcentral.
CCUACGGGUGGCAGCAGUGAGGAAUAUUGGUCAAUGGGCUUACGCCUGAACCAGCCAAGUCGCGUGAGGGAGGACGGCCCUACGGGUUGUAAACCUCUUUUGCCGGGGAGCAACGGGCGCCACGUGUGGCGUCACUGAGAGUACCCGGAGAAACAGCAUCGGCUAACUUCGUGCCAGCAGCCGCGGUAAUACGGAGGAUGCGAGCGUUAUCCGGAUUUAUUGGGUUUAAAGGGGGCGUAGGCGGAUCGUUAAGUCAGUGGUCAAAUUGAGGGGCCCAACCCCUUCCCGCCAUUGAAACUGGCGUUCUUGAGUGGAAGAGAAGUAUGCGGAAUGCGUGGUGUAGCGGUGAAAUGCAUAGAUAUCACGCAGAACCCCGAUUGCGAAGGCAGCAUGCCGGCUUCCGACUGACGCUGAAGCACGAAAGCGUGGGGAUCGAACAGGAUUAGAUACCCGGGUAGUC